UGUACUGUUUGAGUCAGGUUUUUCAUUGCUGUGACUAAAGGAUCCAACCAUAUCAAUUGUAAGGGAGGAAAUGUUUAUUUAAAGGCUCACAGUUUCAGAAAUCUUAGUCCAUAUAAGGCCGUCUUCAUUCCUCAGGGCUCAAGGUGAGGCAGGACAUCAUGGUGGAGCGUGUGGCAGAGGGAAGCAGCUCAUGUGGUGAUCAGGAAGCAGAAGGGUAUCCAAAUACAAAUAUAUACCCCCAAGCCACACCCACAAUGACCCACUUCUUCCAGCAUACCCAUCUGCCUCCCUUUCCCACUCAGUUAAUCCCAUCAGGGAUUAAUUCACUGAUGAGGUUUAGGCUAUACCCCAAUCAUUUCUCCUCUGAACCUUCUUGCAUUGUCUCACAUGUGAACUUCUGGGGACACCUCACAUCUAAACCAAAACAUAUACUCUGAGGCAAGUCAUUUGCUAGCUCUAGGAAUCAGUCAGCUCAGGAUCAGCAAGUCCCCAAGAUGUCAAAGUGUAAUAAAUAUGUCAUUUUAGUAUAGUCAUAUUAAUCCAUUAAUACUGUCAUAUUAAUACAGGGGAACACACCUAUUACCACAAAUAGGUAAUAGGUGGAGGGUGGGGUCAUGGUGGACAUUGUGCUAAACCUUCCCAUGCAAGUGUUAGAAAAGUUUCUAUCAUUAAAACACAAAAUUAAGAGGCAUGUGGAAAUGGGUGAAUUAAACAAUUGAUACAAUAUUUGGAUUAUAUCUGAAAGGCAAUGGAGAAUCAUUCACAAUCUUUAAGCAGGGGAGUGAAAGAUUCAUUUUCAUCGUAGAAUCUUCAUUUGGCAUUAGCAUAGAGGUAGAUUGCUGGUUGGAAAAUUGGAGGGGUAAUCAUCUAACAGAUUAUUCCAGUAAUCAAGUUAAAAAUUUAUACAUUGAUAUUAAUAGGAAUAGAAAUAAAGGGAGACCUUUAAAAUUUAUGAAGUUGAAUUA
Molecule: long non-coding RNA, 965 nt
Filed under: Marmota monax (woodchuck)
Lineage: Eukaryota; Metazoa; Chordata; Mammalia; Rodentia; Sciuridae
Source: RNAcentral